Balaenoptera ricei (Rice's whale) is the source of this 621-nucleotide long non-coding RNA. RefSeq lists it as uncharacterized. The record is from RefSeq and is a predicted model, not a curated record. The transcript is spliced from 4 exons. NCBI's taxonomy places the organism in Eukaryota, Metazoa, Chordata, Mammalia, Artiodactyla, Balaenopteridae.
AGUGCCCAUCCCAGCUCUAAAGCUCCCGGUCAGACCUGCUGAGGACUCCGCUACAGCUGCAUCUGGGAUCAACAUCCCUUUAACGCCCAACCCUGCUUCUCUCACAGGUGUUGUCUGAGAGCGCUGCCCAAAUAGCACCCGCAAACCUCCAGCCCAGAGUCUGCGUCUCAGGGAACCCAACCUCAGCCGAUUAUGUCUUUUUAGAUUCUGGCCAAAUCCUGACAGCUCCAGAAGACAGCUGUGCUGAGCUGACUUCAAGUGAGUGACUGGUGGGACCAUCGUGUCAAACCCUGCAGCACAGGGUCUCAGUGAUGCCAAAAUGUGGCGGCCACCACACACAGUCAUGUGGUCACAGUGUAUGACCUUGGGAAAUCCAAGAGUACAAACUGCAGCGACGCCGAAGAACUUUUAGUUGUUCCUUUAUUAGGCGAAUAAGGUAACAGGUAAGGUAAUAAGACACUCAACACGUGUAGAGGCUGCGUUAAGCAUUUCAUCUUGUUGAAUCCACACCACAGCCUCAUGGAUCCAAGUUUUGACCUCGUUGUUCAGAUGGGGAAACUCAAGUCUAGAGAGGCAGACCUCAGAGAUACUGUGUGUUCAAUUCCAGAUCACAGCAAUAAG